This 408-nucleotide long non-coding RNA is filed under the name Helianthus annuus (common sunflower). RNAcentral's name for it is "hypothetical non coding rna". The record is from RNAcentral. Lineage: Eukaryota; Viridiplantae; Streptophyta; Magnoliopsida; Asterales; Asteraceae.
GUGCUUUUUUGAAGGAAUGGAGCUUAAAACGAUUUCGUUUUCUUUGAAACAACUAAAGAUUGCUACAAACAACUUCAAGGCUUCAAACAAAAUCGGGGAAGGAGGUUUUACAAGGGUACGUUGAGUGAUGGCACGGUGGUUGCAGUGAAGCAGCUUUCGUCUCACUCAAAGCAGGGAAACCGAAUGAGAUCGGUGUGAUUUCGUGUUUACAACACCCGAAUCUUGUUAAACUUCAUGGAUGUUGCAUUGAAGGAGAUCAGUAGUUGUUGCUGGUUUAUGAGUACAUUGAAAAUAAUAGCCUUGCAAAUGCUUUGUUUGGUAAAAGUGGAUUAACGUUGGAUUGGCCAACAAGGUUCAGGAUAUGUAUCGGGAUUGCUCGAGGUUUAGCUUUCCUUCACGAGGAUCAAA